AACGCAAAUCACAGCCAGACGCAACCAGUUAUAGCAUCCUUCCGAGGCUGAGCCUUCAUUAUCGUGAAGCGUUCCUGGCCAUUGACAGUAAUCGGGUAUUUGGUUUGCUAGGAGUUAGGACAUUUGUUCUUUCUUUAUGUCACGUGCUGGACUGAAGAUUAAUWAUAUAGUCAAUCUUGGGUGCGGUGGAUCAUGCUAAAUAGCACUUUGCUACUUAUAAGGAUAUGCCUUCGUGCUUCCGUAUGGGAUUUACCGCAAGGAUUGGCAAUACAUUU
This 275-nucleotide small nucleolar RNA is filed under the name Brettanomyces bruxellensis AWRI1499. The record is from RNAcentral. Lineage: Eukaryota; Fungi; Ascomycota; Pichiomycetes; Pichiales; Pichiaceae.